ACAAUGGGCGAAAGCCUGAUCCAGCCAUGCCGCGUGAGUGAUGAAGGCCCUAGGGUUGUAAAGCUCUUUCAACGGUGAAGAUAAUGACGGUAACCGUAGAAGAAGCCCCGGCUAACUUCGUGCCAGCAGCCGCGGUAAUACGAAGGGGGCUAGCGUUGUUCGGAAUUACUGGGCGUAAAGCGCACGUAGGCGGAUUGUUAAGUUAGGGGUGAAAUCCCAGGGCUCAACCCUGGAACUGCCUUUAAUACUGGCAAUCUCGAGUCCGAGAGAGGUGAGUGGAAUUCCGAGUGUAGAGGUGAAAUUCGUAGAUAUUCGGAGGAACACCAGUGGCGAAGGCGGCUCACUGGCUCGGUACUGACGCUGA
This 364-nucleotide ribosomal RNA is filed under the name Mesorhizobium loti. Its description in RNAcentral is "bacterial SSU rRNA". It matches the Rfam family "Bacterial small subunit ribosomal RNA", at positions 368 to 749 of the family's 1533-position model. The record is from RNAcentral. Lineage: Bacteria; Pseudomonadati; Pseudomonadota; Alphaproteobacteria; Hyphomicrobiales; Phyllobacteriaceae.